UGAAAGGAUGCCCAGAAAGGCUUCAGGGU
This 29-nucleotide non-coding RNA is filed under the name Mus musculus (house mouse). The record is from RNAcentral. Lineage: Eukaryota; Metazoa; Chordata; Mammalia; Rodentia; Muridae.